AUCCAGAUGACGAGCCCCAAAUAAGGCGAAAUACACUUCCUGGAU
This 45-nucleotide non-coding RNA is filed under the name Trichobilharzia regenti. The record is from RNAcentral. Lineage: Eukaryota; Metazoa; Platyhelminthes; Trematoda; Strigeidida; Schistosomatidae.